This is a long non-coding RNA of Ornithorhynchus anatinus (platypus), 943 nucleotides long. RefSeq lists it as uncharacterized. Lineage: Eukaryota; Metazoa; Chordata; Mammalia; Monotremata; Ornithorhynchidae. The transcript is spliced from 3 exons. The record is from RefSeq and is a predicted model, not a curated record.
AUGCGUCAACUUCGACCCCGUGUUCCGACUGCCCGCAACCCUCGGACUCUGAAAACUGGCCUACGAGUUGUCACGGCUUCAGCUUUAAAUCUCCAGCCCCACCGCCACUGGAAGCUUUCGGAAGCUUCGCUUCUCGAGUCGUCUUUGUCGGCCAGUGAGCAAAUGUCUGGAGCAGCAAGCCCAGGAAAUGGACGACACCCCGAUCCCGUUCGAUCUCGCGUCCACAAAGCCGAGUUGGGAGGGCAAGAGUAUUCUUUGGCUGACUUGCGUCCAUAAAACAUAUUUUGGCACGUGGAAAAGAUUUCACUGAGCUAUUACAACUACACCACCCCAAAAAAGCAAAGCUCGGUUUCCAUUGAAAAUGUCAUCGGUGUGGAAAAAGCAUCAUCAAUCAAAUUAGCUAUCGUCUCACCGAAAAAAAAAAGAACCCAAAAAACACAAAUUUCCCAUGUCGAUGGGCCCCCCCCCGCCGCUCAGACAACAGCCACGUCUGGAUUUUGACUGUGUCUCUGAUUUAAGAUCAACCCUUUCCUCCGCUCCAGGGAACUCGCUCCUCUUUUCCCUCUGGGGAUGUGGUCCGCUAGCCACACGCGGGCAACCUGUAGCCUCCUCUCCACGCCAGCCACCGCCCCGCAAGUUUCCUGCCGCUGACGUGUUGUCAACGCGGGAGACGGAGAGGGCAAAAGCCAUGAUUUUUACGGAGAGGCCCGGAGUGGCGACGUGCCUACGAAGGCCGGAAAAAAGGCAAAUGGAAGCGACACCUCGUCGAACGGGAUCUGCAGGAACCCCAAACUCGGCUGUAAAAUGCCGAUGAUUUAAUUUACCCGCUCUCCCUCUUAAACUGCGAGUCCCGCGGGGGACGGGGACCGUGUCCGAUCCGCUUAGAUCGUACCUCCCCCCGUGCUCUCCCCCUUGAAUAAACACCAUAACCAUCGUUCUUCUA